Long non-coding RNA from Balaenoptera acutorostrata (minke whale), 3464 nucleotides. RefSeq lists it as uncharacterized. The record is from RefSeq and is a predicted model, not a curated record. Lineage: Eukaryota; Metazoa; Chordata; Mammalia; Artiodactyla; Balaenopteridae. The transcript is spliced from 5 exons.
UGAUUGUGUCCUGGGAUGGCUCCCACUCGUAUCGCUAUGAAAACAGAAGUUUCAUAAACCAGAGAUGAGUUACUUCAACUCAGUUUAAUUCAAUAAACAGUUAUUGAACAUUUACUGUGUCCAGGAUACCAUUGGCCAUGGUGAAUGAUACAUGAUCCCUCCUAUCAAGAAAUUUGCAAUCUAGUAUGGGAGAAACUAUGCAAAUAAAUGUCCAACCAUAAGAUGACUGCUACGGUAUAGUAACAAGCAAAGAUUUAGGAACUCAGUAGGUAAACAACCACCACCUGUUCACCCCCUCUCCUCCAAAAGAGGAAAAAAAGAAUUUUUCCUUUGAUGACAGCAACACAUGACCCAGGAAGGUUGUGACAGAAAUAAAGUUUACAGAAGUCGUGUUCCUGCGAUAAGAAAUAAAGAUGUGACCUUCCAGUUGUGUAAAGCUCUUAAAUGCUGUGUAAGUGCGUCGGGUGCGCUAAGGACCCUGGAGCUAAAUGGGCUAGUUCUGAGAGAGAGACUUAACUAUGUUAACAAGCUGCCAAGCAGUAACAGCUGUCUUUGUACUGAAUCCCGGAAGUGUCUCUGUAUCCUGGAAGUAUUGCAAUGAUCGUCUUCACACCUGCGAAAUAUUCCUGCACCGUGUACGCAAAUGAUUAUGGCUCCGCUCUCGGGCCUCACCUGGGAGCUACUGCAUGUGAGGAUCAAAUUGAUACACAUUAGGGCAUCCUCAGCGGUCUUUGGCAAAGGCCUAUAGAUUACCUCGCUAUCCAAUUUGUUAACUGGACAGCAGAGCCUGAGUGGAAAGAACAAUGCGCUCGUCAGUUGGGAGAAGCUCCUCCAGGUAUCAACAGAUACAAGCAAGGCAAUCUCACUGUGCAGGUUGAUUAGAACUGGGUUUGUAUUUUGGACAAUAAACUCUACUUACGAUAGUCUCCCAGUCAUUAAGUAUCUCUGCUGUAAGAGAAAACUGGGGCUAUUAACUUCUCCAGAUAGAACCCGAGGGAAAAGUGAUCAUUUCUUUUCUAAGCAGAAGGGAAGGUUCUGCUCAAUAAAGAUCAAUUAAACAUCUCUGUUAAAAGACUGCUUGGAGCUGGUGCCAAAGGAAAUUCCACUGUAUUAACCCGUGCUCCCUCCAACCCUCCCCACCUCUGUAGCUUGCGCUGGGGAAAAUUGUAAGAGGACGCUGGCUAUUGUAAGCUUUAUAAGGUGACAGUAGCUCUCACAUCCGUGGCUGAAUGAUCUUUGAUGUUGAGUGACUUUUCCUGCAUUUAGCAGGGGUAUUCCCAGAGGAUGGCAGGCAAAUCAAACGCUCCUCUGAAUUCAGCUGCUAGCAUCAAUCAUCCUCAUGAGGGAGUAAAAAAAAGAAUAUAACAAUAGGUACCGGGAAAAAUGAUAUGGUGGUCUGAGCUAGUAAUUCCCAGGAUGCAGGAAGAGUUUUGGGGGCCCUAGAAAAUCCACUGCAUAAAGAAAACCCGCCACAAUCUCCACCAGCAUCUUAUAGUUACCACCUCAUUCUUGUCCUUUAAAAUACAGUGUGCUUGUCCUUUAAAAUACAGUGUGUCUUGUACAUUAAAAUACAGUGUGCUUCUACUCUCUGGCUGAGACUGCAUCCUCUCAUGUAAAUUCCAUCUGUUCUUGCUUGAGGGAGGGCAGACACAACCUUGACUUUAUCCUCUUGAUGAGAGUGAUGUUUCAUGGUGUUGGGAGGAUUUUCAUUGGGUCAAUUGCCUGAUUGAGACAUAGCCUUAGUGAGGUGACAAAUAGCAGGCAUUAAUGUCUCUUUUUUAAUGGUAUGAUGAAUGGUCUAAGAGAAGGGUCAGCAAACUGUAGCCAGCCGCCUGUUUUUGUAAAUAAAUUAUUGGACCACAGCCAGACCAGUUCAUUCAUGAAUUUUCUCUGGCUCCUUUUGCGUCGAGUAGUUGUGACAGAGACCUAACGGCCCACAAAGCCAAAGAUACUCCCUGGCCCCGGCCACCCCUGAUCUAAGACCGUUCCCACAGUCCUCUGAUGAUAAGAAUCACCUGGAUCAUUUGUUCAAAAGACAAUUUCUGGGUCCAGCUUGGAACCCCUGAGUCAGAAUCUCCAGGGAAGGGGCUUUGGGAAGGUAGAGUGAACAAGCUUCCCGGGUGAUUCUUAUCCCCAGGGAACUACUGGUCUCAGGUGUGCCUGCCUAGCAGGUAAGGAGGAGGUUUUCAAAGAGGCAGUGGGGGUGGGGGGUUGGGCGGAGUUUGCCUUGGAGAGCACAGGCCUCGCGGUUUCACUGCUGGGACUGCAUCCCAGCUCCGCUUCUCCCCGAGCUUCGCCACCUCAGGUAAGUUCCUUUUCACACUGUUUCCUCCGCUGAGAAGUGAGGGUCAUGGUGCCCGGUUGGCAGUGUGUGUAUAUACGCUGAGAGCCUAAUCCAAGGCUCGGUAGUGGUCACCCUCACUAAGAGGAGCAGCGCCAUGUAAACACAGAAGACCCCGCUGUGGAAACAUCUCAUAAAUAAGACAGGCCCAGCGGGGCUUUUCAGUAGUCCACGGUGUACAGCUGUUUUCCUCAGAAGGAAAAACUCCCUUAAAGGAAUCUCCCAUUACGUUCAGGACCGUAUACGGCCCUUUAGAAACUCAAUUCUCCACAGCAUGCUGAGUAUUGCAAGAGGUUAUCAUUGGCUGUUUUAGGAUAUAGCUGAGUUUGCAAAGGAAUAUUUAAUUUCAUGAUUGAAAACUCUGGUACUUAGCACGAGACAGACAUAUAUAUAUAUUCUGUUUCUGAGGUUAAUGUUUUUAAAAACUCUUUGCCUGACGAGAUCAAGCAAUUUCAGCCAUUCGUGUAGCUGUUGAAAGGCAGUUUUUAGAUGAAUUGCCCAUAAAUCCUUGCAAGAUACAGGACCCAAUAAUACUUCAGGUUACCAGGGAGUUUCAUAUUUUACUAAAAGGGGGAAAAAGUCAAUCUUGAAUCUUUUAGUCCGAUGACCAAAGAAUUGCUCCAUUGAUUUUGUUCAGCUACUCAGGUGGGUGUGCAGUUGAUCCUGAUUGGAUCUUAUUUAAAGUUUACUUUUUCUGGGAAGUAUUAAUUCGAAUGUAGUAUGGGUAAUACUGGAAUACUAGAGCCUCUUUAAAGCCACUUUACACAGCUUGUGUAAACAUCCUAGGGUAGUUUCCUCUUAACAUUUUCACAAAUACAGAACUUGAGUUUGCUGUAUGUUUUCCUCUUUUUAACAGAAGAGGGAGGUAAAGGCUUGGCUAAACAAUGUACUUAAAACCCAGGCUAGAGGGAAAUGGAUUCAUAUUCUUAGAGGAACAGGUAAACAAGAACAGCAUGAAUUCUGCCAAGUAUGAUUUAGGUUUGUGAAGGAAGGAAAAAAAGCACACUUGGCAAAUGAGUGUGGUUUGCUGAUUUCUUUAUUUUUAAACUUAGUUUUAAACGAAAGUACCAGUGAGACCCGAGAAAAACGAAUCUGCAGAGGGCAGGAGGAGGGGUAUUCUUCA